GACGAACCGUACGAACGUUAUUCGGAAUCACUGGGCUUAAAGGGUGCGUAGGCGGCGCUGAAAGUUGGGUGUGAAAUCCCUCGGCUCAACCGAGGAACUGCGCCCAAAACUACGGUGCUCGAGGGAGAUAGAGGUGAGCGGACCUUAGUGUGGAGCGGUGAAAUGCGUUGAUAUCCUAAGGAACGCCAGGGGCGAAAGCGGCUCACUGGAUCUCUUCUGACGCUGAGGCACGAAAGCUAGGGUAGCGAACGGG
RNAcentral lists this ribosomal RNA (253 nucleotides) under uncultured bacterium. Its description in RNAcentral is "partial 16S ribosomal RNA". It matches the Rfam family "Bacterial small subunit ribosomal RNA", at positions 524 to 776 of the family's 1533-position model. The record is from RNAcentral.